AUGUUUAGAUUACACAAGAAAACAUGCAGUCAUCAUUUGACAAAGUGUUCGAGUCGUGGUUCAUAAAGCACAACCUCCUAUUCAGGCACCCUGGAUGUAAACAGUGAGUGAGUGAGUUUAGU
Molecule: long non-coding RNA, 122 nt
Organism: Haliotis rubra (blacklip abalone)
Lineage: Eukaryota; Metazoa; Mollusca; Gastropoda; Lepetellida; Haliotidae
Exons: 3
Source: RefSeq, a predicted model, not a curated record